Rattus norvegicus (Norway rat) is the source of this 69-nucleotide non-coding RNA. Lineage: Eukaryota; Metazoa; Chordata; Mammalia; Rodentia; Muridae. The record is from Rfam.
GGGGAUUUAGCUCAGUGGUAGAGCGCUUGCCUAAUGAGCGCAAGGCCCUGGGUUCGGUCCCCAGCUCCG